AUGGGGAGAAAGCACAACUGCAAUCAUUUUGCUAAGGACAAACAAAAGAAGUUCUUCGGCCGCCUAAUCUCGCCCUUCUCAUUCCCUUCCUCCUAUUUCCAUGGUAGCAGAGAGAGACAAGAAUCACCCCCUCCUGCCGCCUCCAUCAUACAGCGACAAAAAGCCGAACACCAGUACAAGACUGAAGACUAUCCUACCUCUACUAUGAACAUGAGUAACCCGAGCUCCCCUCCCCCUCCCCCCCAACCCACCCACCCACCCAGACACACCCUCUUUCCCACUCCAAGCACCAGCGCCGCCGGUGAAAGAAAGAGGGUAGCCAGAGAUUCAAGUUUAGUGGCCAUAGGCAUAGAAGGCACCAGGAAACACGGACAGAUAACUGGAAUUAUAGAAUGCACUCACGCAUCGUCUCAAUCGUCAUGCAUCUCCUUCCUACUCUGCCACCUCACCAUGACUAUGGUAACUGCUGUGUGCUGUUUGUUUCUUGUUGCAGCAAUGGAUGAUGGGGACCUUGAUUUCUCCAAUCGGGAGAUGUAUAUGUGCUGCGCCACAUGCGCAGAGCUGCCCGGUGGCGAGUGCUCCAUGGACAACUACUUUGAGUUCGAUGACAUCCUCAAGGAGACGGGACACAUGAUAAUUUAUCCCAAAUGA
Molecule: ribosomal RNA, 651 nt
Filed under: Triticum aestivum (bread wheat)
Lineage: Eukaryota; Viridiplantae; Streptophyta; Magnoliopsida; Poales; Poaceae
Description: partial small subunit ribosomal RNA
Source: RNAcentral